This 445-nucleotide ribosomal RNA is filed under the name uncultured bacterium. RNAcentral's name for it is "bacterial SSU rRNA". It matches the Rfam family "Bacterial small subunit ribosomal RNA", at positions 354 to 796 of the family's 1533-position model. The record is from RNAcentral.
GUAAGGAAUAUUGGGCAAUGGACGCAAGUCUGACCCAGCCAUGCCGCGUGAAGGAUGACGGCCCUAUGGGUUGUAAACUUCUUUUGUACGGGAAAAAACCUUCGAACGUGUUCGAAGCUGAUGGUACCGUAAGAAUAAGCAUCGGCUAACUCCGUGCCAGCAGCCGCGGUAAUACGGAGGAUGCAAGCGUUAUCCGGAUUCAUUGGGUUUAAAGGGUGCGUAGGCGGGAUAAUAAGUCAGUGGUGAAAGCCUACAGCUUAACUGUAGAACUGCCAUUGAUACUGUUAACCUUGAGUACAAUUGAAGUGGGCGGAAUGUGUCAUGUAGCGGUGAAAUGCUUAGAUAUGACACAGAACACCGAUAGCGAAGGCAGCUCACUAAACUGUAACUGACGCUGAGGCACGAAAGCGUGGGGAUCAAACAGGAUUAGAAACCCCAGUAGUCC